UGGGGAAUAUUGCACAAUGGGCGCAAGCCUGAUGCAGCCAUGCCGCGUGUGUGAAGAAGGCCUUCGGGUUGUAAAGCACUUUCAGCGGGGAGGAAGGCGUUAAGGUUAAUAACCUUGGCGAUUGACGUUACCCGCAGAAGAAGCACCGGCUAACUCCGUGCCAGCAGCCGCGGUAAUACGGAGGGUGCAAGCGUUAAUCGGAAUUACUGGGCGUAAAGCGCACGCAGGCGGUCUGUCAAGUCGGAUGUGAAAUCCCCGGGCUCAACCUGGGAACUGCAUUCGAAACUGGCAGGCUAGAGUCUUGUAGAGGGGGGUAGAAUUCCAGGUGGAGCGGUGAAAUGCGUAGAGAUCUGGAGGAAUACCGGUGGCGAAGGCGGCCCCCUGGACAAAGACUGACGCUCAGGUGCGAAAGAGUGGGGAGCAAACAGG
This 429-nucleotide ribosomal RNA is filed under the name Chloroflexota bacterium. RNAcentral's name for it is "Chloroflexi bacterium partial 16S ribosomal RNA". It matches the Rfam family "Bacterial small subunit ribosomal RNA", at positions 355 to 776 of the family's 1533-position model. The record is from RNAcentral. Lineage: Bacteria; Bacillati; Chloroflexota.